UUCUAAUAGGAAAAGGAAAUGAUAAUUGACAGGAACUUUGUGAUACUAGGAGGAGAGGAGGGGUUCCAAAUGCUCGUUGAUGCCUUGGUUUGGGAUUCAGAUGCCUUAAGUUGAUGCAUAUUGCAUCAUGUUCCUUCAACUGGCCAUGCUUGUCUUUGGGUAUCAUGGAUCACUUAAUCUCCUGGGAAUGUUAAAAUCAGAAGUAACUAAAAUUUCUUAUCCAUUUUCUAAGCAUUUUCAGCUGUGUGUGUGUGUUUUUUUUUCCGUUUCUAUUGUAAAUCUUAUAGGCAGAGAAGGUAUUCAACCAGGGCACGUUUUUCAAGAAGACUGUCAAAUAUGUUGGAGAGCCAAUGACCCACUUGGAAUCCACUUGAAAUGAAUUGAAGAGGAAAUAAUGUGAAGAAGAUGAAAGCCGGGGGGGAGAAAAGGAAAAAUUAUCACUUUAUUAAUUUUUUAUUUUUGGUUGUUGUCGUUUAAAGGUUGGAACAUGAAAUAAACGCCGUCUGGUAAUAGCUGUUGACUGGAUUUGCUUUUUAAUAUUUUUUUCCUGUGUGGUUGACGCUCUAGGUCGGGAUUUGCACUAUUUCUUCUUCCCCAGUGCUGCUCUUCGUAAAUCAAAGUUAAUGAAGAUUUACUUAGAUUUCUUCGUUUUCGUUGAUUAUAUCUUUGAACGCAGAUUCAUAAUUAAAUAUCUUCGUUUUCGUUGAUUAUAUCGUUGAAGAGCAGCUGAAGAAAAGCCUGUUACAUGUCAAAUAUGAUUACUUACAAGUGGCAAUUCAGGAGGGGCACAUAAGCAGUUGUAAUUCUCUUGUAAAGCAAUUAUACCAGAAAGCACUUGCUGUCAAGUCUGCAAUACCACAUCCUAGGAUCAUAGGAAUAAUUCGUGAAUGUGGUGGCAAGAUGCAUAUGGCUGAGCGUCAGUGGGCUGAGGCAGCCACAAAUUUCUUUGAAGCUUUCAAGAACUAUGAUGAAACUGGAAAUCAGAGACGUAUACAAUGCCUAAAAUACCUUGUUCUAGCUAACAUGCUGAUGGAAUCU
Molecule: long non-coding RNA, 1038 nt
Organism: Gossypium raimondii (Peruvian cotton)
Lineage: Eukaryota; Viridiplantae; Streptophyta; Magnoliopsida; Malvales; Malvaceae
Exons: 3
Source: RefSeq, a predicted model, not a curated record